AGCCACCUUGUCGUGUGUAUUUGUAACAAGACUUUGGAUUAAAUGGGGCUGCUAAGAGGGGGGAAAUAUGAAGGAAUGAAGGGACAGCAUUGGAACGGUCAGUCGGCAGUGGUUCUCAGGCAGCCUUAGGCACCACCUGCUCCAAGUCAGUGUUGAGUCUGCGUGCUGGGAUCCAGCCCACUCCUCGUCUUCCAUGCCAGGGCCCCCAGGCAGCCAGCACCAGCCCAAAGGCCACAGGGCUGGGGAAAGCUGAUGUCCUGUUAGGAUGGCUCCCAGGGACCUCUGACUCAAGGAAGGGUGACCUUUUGUUUCCUACUCUGCUGAGAAAUCACUUGAUUCUUCCUCAAAUGAAUCACCUUCCUGAACCCCAGGUUCUUCUCCAGGAAUAUGGGGGCCAUCUUGUUAUGGGGACUAUCUUGUUUUCCAGUUUCCUGCCUACCCUAAAUACUUUGAGGCUGAAUUGCAGAUUUUCAGUCAUUUUACCUUCUCAGGUAAAAGCCAUGAAAGAAACAAGCCUACUCCACCAGCCAAAGCACUUGCCCAUUUGCUGGCUUCAUGAACCACAGGUGGGAGGUAUGUGUUUGUGUUAAAAAACAGCAUGCACACGCGUGCGCGCACACAUGCACACACACACCCCUCUAUUUUAGGGAUGUGUGCUAAUUUUCUAAAUGCCUGCAAGGAGUUCUAAAAUGAUUCUGAGCAGAUUCGUCUAGGAUUUGAAAAUACUUGAAUUUGCACCAGAACACACCCUUCCACCCAUGUUUCAGAAGGCACUAAUUGUCGCUUUGGGCGCCUCAGUGUCAUAACUGUAGACAUCAUUCUUGGGAGUUGUUGGGGGGAAAAAUCCUAGCUACUUAAGGUUUCUGAUUGAUUCUUGAUAAAGUGAAGAUUAUUGUGUGUGGUGAAUGAGUUCAGUGAGUCCCCAUGAUGCAGUAGUUUUUUUAAAAAAUUAGAGAUUAAUUAUAUCUUUUAUGGAAAAAAGUUGUUUUAGUUUGUCAGGUUUUCCCUCUUUGAACUGUUUUUAAUGUUUACAAACCUCACUUUAGCGCUAACAUUUUGUGUUUAGCCCUCACGAAAAAGCACUUACUGUGGCAGGAAGAUUUUGCAGUAACAUGGAGAAAUCCCCAAGAUCAAGUGCUGACAAAUGUUGACAGCUUUAGCAGCGUACUGUGUAAUAAAUAACUCCGAGGGGGCGGCGGGGGGUCUGUGCAAGAAAGCGUCCCCUUAUGCACAUGUGGCGUCUCAUUCCCCAGAAAAGGACAGCAUCUGAGCUCACAGUGUUGAUCAGGCAACACUGCUGGGCUGGGGGUCGGAGUUGGGGUUAGCUUCCUGCACCAACACCUUCAGUACGAUCUGAGUUGGGAGCAGUGUCCCAGGCUAUGUGGCUGAGCACCACGUCUGCCUCAGGGGCUGACCCUGCUAGCCUGUUAACAACUCGUCUCCCCUCUGCUCCCACAGAGAGGGCAGCCAGGCCAGCUCACAGCUGGGUGUGCUGCCUGGCAGGUCUGUUGAGUGUGUUUGCAAAGUCAAAAUUGGGCUUAUCUCUCUUUGAGAGUUCCUUUUAAAAUAGGGCCAUAAAGGCUCAGCCUUGCAUUAAAUGGGGCCCACUUGGAAGGACCAUCCUGAGCUUUAUCAGAAAUCUCCUGCUGGGAAUCAUGUUACUUGGCCCCCAAAAAAGGCCAUCUUUGAAGUGAGAUUGAAAACAAGAACACCAUUCAGAUGGGCUUGUUGCCCAAGUUUUCCCAGGUCACUUCAGUAAAACCACUUGAUCAUCUGGUGAAAGAGGGGGGCAGGUGGUUGGCCUCCUGAGGAUAUGUUGUCAGCUGCAAGAAAUAGUUCUGAAGUCACUGAAACUAAAUGCAGAUGAAUGACCAAAAAGGAUGACACGCCAGAGAGUGACUUAGGAGUUAAUUUGCAUCUUUGUGAUAGACUCUUCAGAAUUAUUUAUGUCCCUGUAACUAUUUAAUAUCCUUUGUGCCGUGAGGCUCCUCGGUGGUUUUGUAAAUGUUCUCCUUGUAUUUAAUUAACUCCCACUAGAACCGGAAGUGGUGCCAUGGACGCUUCCUAGUUGAUGUAAUGUGUGGUUGCACAUGUCAUCAUGUAUAGACCACAUGGUGAUGAAAGUUCUGGAGGGAAUAGGGUUAUCCAAGGUGAAUAUGAAGACGCCUAUAUUUUUCUUAUAUUGCCUCUGUAUGCAAACAGAAGACAAUCGAUAUCUGGGGGCCUUAAAAUGACCUCUUGGCAAAUUGAAGGAAGCGUUUUUGCGUUUAAUAGUUUCAGUAGGGACCACUAUCAGUUUGGUUUGGGGCAUUUGAAGGCUGAGCGACCUUAGUUUUUCUCAGUGUUCUGGUGGGACGAUAUUGGUUUUCACAUUUAAAGCAAAACUUGAAGAAACUGCAGUUGCUGUGUGCAUUUGGGUUUUUUCCUGGACACUGUACAGCUGAAACCCUCAAGCAUUUGGUGGAACCUCUGGUGGUUUUAGAUGGAUGCAAACACUGACGUCCUCAGAGAAAGUUUAUUUUGGCACUGAUUGGGUGGAUUUGGUAUUUUUUCCCUCUGAUUCUCUUUGAUAUCCUUCUUUCACACUGCUGAAGGCAUGGGAGGGAAAUAUGUUUUCCCUGCCUUAAAGAGGGAUUACAGUCAGGAAAGGCUGGAGAUACUUGUUGGCCCCACAUAAAGCUGGGAAGAACAGACGCAGUUACAGAUUAAAAUCUCGUCAGAGAAGUUUGAUUUGAAGUAAACAGCCAUCCGAGGGAGGUGACUUUUGUCUACAGAAAAAGCAAGAAUGUGGCAGCCUGCACAGCCCCAAUACACAUCUUCCUUGGCAAUGUGAGCUGAAGCCAGCAUGGGCAAGGCCGGCCCAGCUCUGAGGGCUUGGCCCUGGGAAGCCGGCGGCACCCCCAGCCCUUCGGGCCCUGUUACUGUCCCCUGGCAGGAAGGCUCACACCUGUGGGCAGCCAGGGAAUGUGUCUGACCUCCACCCUAUGUCAGGUGCUUCUGGGACAGCUUCGUGACUCAGUUGAAAACAUUCUGACUCUCUUCAAGUUUGCAGUUACAUCUGUGGUUCUUGGAAGCUGUCCUAGUGAGUCAGCCUUGGGUUAAGCCUGAGGAGACCAAGCUCCAAAACCUUUGUGCACUCAUGUACGUGAAUUCUUGCUUGCAGUGAAUGAGACCUGAACAACCCUAGUGGGUGCCAUGUCCUGCGUGUGGCCCAGGCGUACCUUUUCUUGUAGAUUCACAUGAGAAACCCGUCACCUAUCCAUGUGCUCUGAGAGGUGGACUGAGGUCUAAUCCCUUUCUGUGCCAGAUUUUCUGUGGGUUGGUCUUAGCACCUAGGAGAUGAAUAGAGCAUGGAGACACCUGAACAAUUUAGUGAUUCUGCAAGGCAGUGAUGAUUUAAGGGUUCCUAUUGUCUCAUCUGUGUUCAAAACAAAACAAUCAUGAAGUCUUUGUGCCACUGCCUGACUGUCAUCUUCUCCAGAUCUUGUUUACAGAGAAAUAAUGACAUUAAACAGGUAUCAGAAAGGGGAAAAAGUUUCUAGGCCAAGAGCUGCUGGUGGAUUCUCUUGAGCAGAAUAACAAGUUGCUUCCUGCUCCAGGGACUGCCAUUAGCUUGUGAAGUCUCUAGGUGCCUUGUUAUUUCCUAGUGAAGUUGCAGAAUCCAGGGUUUUUUCCAGGUUUGUCUUAUUUUAUCAGCACCCACGUCCAGGCCCAACAGCUUGGUAGGCUGGUGAGGUCCACACACGGCCAGGUCUGGGAGAUAAGGGAGGAAGCAGUGGCCUGGAACACCCCACCUGUCUGCUAUCAGCACUAGACAGCUCAGGCUGUCUUGGAAAUGUGUACUUUGUUAACUGCCUUCCUGUCCUCUUGUCUUUGAAAGCUGUCUUGCGUUCCACAGUCAGCUUGAGGGCAAGAGUGGGAUGCUGGGGACAGGUCUUUCCCGUCCUGUGGGUGAGCUCCUGGCAUCUGGCUCAGGAACAUGUGGGUCCAGCAGGUGACUCUGAAGCUGGCUUGGCUGCCAUCUCAGACAGGACGCAGGCCUGACACCCUCAGCUUUUAGCUUUGUAAACUUCCCUGGCGCUUUGUAGAAUCUUGGGUUUCUUCUCUUCUCAGCAGAUAUCAUUCAAGUCACAAGAACUGUCUGGUUGAGAAAGUAAUUUAAAAUAUUUGACCUUUUAUGUUUCUUUUAUUUAGAAACUGUGAGAGAAAAUACCGUCAAUAUCUGUUAGGUCUAGAAAAAUUUUCUUCCGAAAGUGAAUGUUCUGUUUAAUUCUUCUUCAUGCACGCGAGUGGCAUUUUGUACACUCUUUAGCUUGAAGCGGAGUGGGUCCUAUUGUAUUUUCCCUUCUUUUGUCUGGAAUAUAUUCUUUUUCCAUUUGGAUACAGUUUUUCAACCUUUGGGAUUUUUUUUUCCUUUCUAGUUUUUCCUACUCCACAAACGUAACAGUAAGGAAAAAAUCACCCACAAACCCGCUGAGUUUGAAUCACUGGCAACUUGCCUAGAAAAGUUCAGAUGAUGGGUCCUUGAACUGUGUAUCUAUUUCAUAGGGUAAGUUUGUUGUUUAUGUUUUUUUAUGCUGAGGCUUUAAUUCAGGUGACUUGCUAUCUAGACACCUGGGGUGGCGUGUUUUCUUUGGGAUGCGUAAUACACAAAGGCCAGGGAGCCUUUGGCUUGGACCCCCAGGGAGCUAUUGGAACUUUUAAAGUUUGAGUUUAGGAGUAAGAACAUAUCUCAGACCACCUUAGUCAGCUUUGCUGAUGGGAUUUAGGGCCAGGUCAGAGUUUCUUUUCAUAACUGCCUGAAAAGAGAGAUGGUGUGAAACAAGAUUCUGAUAAUGGUUUGUGUGAGAUUUGAUCAUAGUCUAAAACUAUCACGUCUGAGUUGCCUUAGGAUGACAGUGCUGACACCCAGUAGGAAGUAUCCCAUUUUUAUCAGGAAAGUCAGUCACGCGUAGGGAUGGUGAGGAGACGAGGGGAGAGGAGGGAGACCUGCUGGUGCCCUUGCACCAGGGUGAGGCCUGACUCACGCUGCUUCCCCCAACAGGCCCUGCUUUGCUUGCCUGCUUUUUCCAGAAUCGAUUUUGCAAGCUUCAAGAUUCUGUUCCCCUCUUCGCAGAAGUGAGGAAGGCAAAUACUCAGGGUUUGAAGGGAGACCUGGCCGGCCUGAGGGCUGGCAGAUGUGAGGGCAGGACACCUGGGAUGGACUCGUAGGCUGGCCCAGGCCCAAAGGAGGCUGCCUGUUCCCAACUCUUUCACUCUGUAACCCAUUUUAAAAUGAGUUUUUGAAUCUUGCCUCAAAUUGACCUACUUGGAUAAAAUCAGUGCUUUUCCUAACUUGAUUUUGUUUGACGUGGUUCCCUCUAAGAGAAUGGUAGGAAUUGAAACUAUUUGUAUAUGUUGAAAUUUGUAGGGGUUCAGGAACCCAUGGCAGAAACACUAAACUAUUUAUUUACAAGUAUGACUAUUUUUUUUUCAAAGUGGGCAAUUCUUUGUAUAUUUUAAGGCAAAUAAUCACUUCACCUCUGGUGCCUUCCAUGCGUCGCAUAAGCACUCUUGUCAAUCAUGGAAUUGGAAAAAAAGAUGUACAUUUAGUUAAACGAGAUAACACUAUUUUUGUAGCAUGAUUUUAGAUUGUGUCCUUUUAAUAUUGUUUUCAACAAUGGUAGUUUUGAGGUUUUGGCCAUUUUCUCUUUACACUUCGUAUGUAUUUUAAAGAAGAAAAAAAACAAAAAAAAUUCCCUGGCUAUUCCUCUUUCCUCUCUGCUGCUGCUUCUCCUGCAUCUUGUUCCUGCUUAUUUAAAUAGUCUGAGAGUAAGAGUAUAUUUCUGUGAAAUAAUUAUAAGUCAGUAUAAUUGCAUUUGGCAUUUUUUAACCACUUGCUCAGUUUGGAGCCACUGCUCACCUCAAACAGUACAAAGAAAGUGGUUCCAUAUUUUACAAACAGAAGAGUAGCAUCAGAGCCCUGACCUCCUGUCUUUGGGUGUAAAAUGGUGAGAGGCCAGUGUCUGGCUCCUUCCCCUGUGGUUUGGGCUGGUGAACUGAGCCCAAGCUUAUUCUCUGGCCUGGGCCCCUUCCAGAAUCAGUGCGGGCGUCCUGCAGAGGCAUGGCCUUCCUGCCGCUGCAGAGUGGGAAGCUUCCCGGGGGACCUCAGCCAGCUCCGGGGCUCUCAUCUUCCACUCGGAUCUCAGAUUGGUUCGUUGUGGAUGCUCUGGCUAGGCUCGGCGGCCUUUUCCAGGCUUCAGGCCUGAACAAAACAGGCUGUUUGCUGUGAGGAGCUAGAUGACACCAAGACACAGACACGUACUCUUCACCGGCUCCUUUUGCUUCUCCUUCCUGCAGGACGUGAGUUAUGUCUGGUCCCAAAACCCUUGAGUAAACUAGCUGAGCCAUUGCAAAUGAAGGUACAGAUGGAUUGAAACAUAAAAUUGUAGCUUUUGGUGUCCUUCUGAAGGGUCAGAAUAUGUAAUUAUUUGAUAACCAAGGAAGUCAAGUCAGAUGGCUAAGUAGUAACUUUCCAAUAUGAUUUCUCCGUGGUACUUCACCUGGUGGCACUUUUGGGGGGCAAUGUUAACAACUAUCACAUUUUACUCAUCAAGUCUCUUUCAUUUCGGCAGUUUAAAGACACAACUGUGGGCUUUCUGAGGCGAUGCCCGUUGGGCAAACUUAGGUUUAUGUGUUUGGUUUUUCAGCUGACGUGGAAGCCCUGGGUGGGCGUCCCCUGGCUGGCCUGGCUUUCGGGUUCAAGUCUGUAUGUAUGGAGUGGGUUGGGGCCCCAAAGCUUUGCUGCUAUUGAUUUGUCCCCGACAGCAGGCAAAGCCUCACAUUGCCCUCAAUUUUCCCCCUUUCAUUUGAAGGACCAAUUUUUCAUGGUACUUGUCUUGAUCUUUUUCAUAGUGUUCAAAUCUGUAUUUUUGUAUGUAGAGGGAAAUAAUUUUCUCAACACUAAUCGUUAAUAACUAUUGUAUUAAAUUGUCAUGAAGGAACUCGUUUAAUAAAUGGACGUGUAAGGA
Molecule: small RNA, 7010 nt
Filed under: Pan troglodytes (chimpanzee)
Lineage: Eukaryota; Metazoa; Chordata; Mammalia; Primates; Hominidae
Description: retained intron
Source: RNAcentral